UUAAGUCCCGCAACGAGCGCAACCCUUAUCCUUUGUUGCCAGCGGUCCGGCCGGGAACUCAAAGGAGACUGCCAGUGAUAAACUGGAGGAAGGUGGGGAUGACGUCAAGUCAUCAUGGCCCUUACGACCAGGGCUACACACGUGCUACAAUGGCGCAUACAAAGAGAAGCGACCUCGCGAGAGCAAGCGGACCUCAUAAAGUGCGUCGUAGUCCGGAUUGGAGUCUGCAACUCGACUCCAUGAAGUCGGAAUCGCUAGUAAUCGUGGAUCAGAAUGCCACGGUGAAUACGUUCCCGGGCCUUGUACACACCGCCCGUCACACCAUGGGAGUGGGUUGCAAAAGAAGUAGGUAGCUUAACCUUCGGGAGGGCGCUUACCACUUUGUGAUUCAUGACUGGGGUGAAGUCGUAACAAGGUAACCGUAGGGGAACCUGCGGUUGGAUCACCUCCUU
This 452-nucleotide ribosomal RNA is filed under the name Escherichia coli. RNAcentral's name for it is "bacterial SSU rRNA". It matches the Rfam family "Bacterial small subunit ribosomal RNA", at positions 1080 to 1532 of the family's 1533-position model. Lineage: Bacteria; Pseudomonadati; Pseudomonadota; Gammaproteobacteria; Enterobacterales; Enterobacteriaceae. The record is from RNAcentral.